Molecule: ribosomal RNA, 494 nt
Filed under: uncultured bacterium
Lineage: Bacteria
Description: bacterial SSU rRNA
Rfam family: Bacterial small subunit ribosomal RNA
Source: RNAcentral
UGAACGCUGGCGGCGUGCCUAACACAUGCAAGUCGAACGAAGCACUUGUACGAUCCCUCGGGGUGACGACUUGUGACUGAGUGGCGGACGGGUGAGUAACGCGUGGGAAACCUGCCCUAUACCGGGGGAUAACAGUUGGAAACGACUGCUAAUACCGCAUAAGCGCACGAGAUGGCAUCAUCUAGUGUGAAAAAACUCCGGGUGGUAUAGGAUGGGUCCCCGCGUCUGAUUAGCUAGUUGGUGAGGUAACGGCCCACCAAGGCCGACGAUCAGUAGCCGACCUGAGAGGGUGACCGGCCACAUUGGGACUGAGACACGGCCCAAACUCCUACGGGAGGCAGCAGUGGGGAAUAUUGCACAAUGGGCGAAAGCCUGAUGCAGCCGACGCCGCGUGAGCGAUGAAGUAUUUCGGUAUGUAAAGCUCUAUCAGCAGGGAAGAACUAAAUGACGGUACCUGACUAAGAAGCUCCGGCUAAAUACGUGCCAGCCGCCGC